ACGGGUGAGUAACGCGUAAAGAACUUGCCUCACAGAUAGGGACAACAUUUGGAAACGAAUGCUAAUACCUGAUAUUAUGAUUAUAUGGCAUCGUAUAAUUAUGAAAGCUAUAUGCGCUGUGAGAGAGCUUUGCGUCCCAUUAGCUAGUUGGUGAGGUAACGGCUCACCAAGGCCGUGAUGCAUAGCCGACCUGAGAGGGUGAUCGGCCACAUUGGGACUGAGACACGGCCCAAACUCCUACGGGAGGCAGCAGUAGGGAAUCUUCCGCAAUGGACGCAAGUCUGACGGAGCAACGCCGCGUGAGUGAAGAAGGAUUUCGGUUCGUAAAACUCUGUUGUUAGAGAAGAACAGCGCAUAGAGUAACUGUUAUGCGUGUGACGGUAUCUAACCAGAAAGCCACGGCUAACUACGUGCCAGCAGCCGCGGUAAUACGUAGGUGGCAAGCGUUGUCCGGAUUUAUUGGGCGUAAAGCGAGCGCAGGCGGUCAAUUAAGUCUGAUGUGAAAGCCCCCGGCUCAACCGGGGAGGGUCAUUGGAAACUGGUUGACUUGAGUGCAGAAGAGGAGAGUGGAAUUCCAUGUGUAGCGGUGAAAUGCGUAGAUAUAUGGAGGAACACCAGUGGCGAAGGCGACUCUCUGGUCUGUAACUGACGCUGAGGCUCGAAAGCGUGGGUAGCAAACAGGAUUAGAUACCCUGGUAGUCCACGCCGUAAAC
Molecule: ribosomal RNA, 713 nt
Filed under: uncultured bacterium
Lineage: Bacteria
Description: bacterial SSU rRNA
Rfam family: Bacterial small subunit ribosomal RNA
Source: RNAcentral